CGUGGGUAACCUGCCCAUAAGACUGGGAUAACUCCGGGAAACCGGGGCUAAUACCGGAUAACAUUUUGAACCGCAUGGUUCGAAAUUGAAAGGCGGCUUCGGCUGUCACUUAUGGAUGGACCCGCGUCGCAUUAGCUAGUUGGUGAGGUAACGGCUCACCAAGGCAACGAUGCGUAGCCGACCUGAGAGGGUGAUCGGCCACACUGGGACUGAGACACGGCCCAGACUCCUACGGGAGGCAGCAGUAGGGAAUCUUCCGCAAUGGACGAAAGUCUGACGGAGCAACGCCGCGUGAGUGAUGAAGGCUUUCGGGUCGUAAAACUCUGUUGUUAGGGAAGAACAAGUGCUAGUUGAAUAAGCUGGCACCUUGACGGUACCUAACCAGAAAGCCACGGCUAACUACGUGCCAGCAGCCGCGGUAAUACGUAGGUGGCAAGCGUUAUCCGGAAUUAUUGGGCGUAAAGCGCGCGCAGGUGGUUUCUUAAGUCUGAUGUGAAAGCCCACGGCUCAACCGUGGAGGGUCAUUGGAAACUGGGAGACUUGAGUGCAGAAGAGGAAAGUGGAAUUCCAUGUGUAGCGGUGAAAUGCGUAGAGAUAUGGAG
RNAcentral lists this ribosomal RNA (602 nucleotides) under Brucella abortus. Its description in RNAcentral is "bacterial SSU rRNA". It matches the Rfam family "Bacterial small subunit ribosomal RNA", at positions 116 to 703 of the family's 1533-position model. Lineage: Bacteria; Pseudomonadati; Pseudomonadota; Alphaproteobacteria; Hyphomicrobiales; Brucellaceae. The record is from RNAcentral.